AAAAUGACUCAUGUGAUAUUAUUUACGUAUAUGAUAGUAUUAGUAACCUUACCAUGGUCAGGUAACUGAAUUCGAUUGAAAACAUCCAUGAGUAAAUCAACAGCCACAAAUGGUCCUCUGAAGCAUCCAGGUGGAGGAAGCAUGGUACAAAGUUGUGCUGCAGCUGGUGGCAAUGGAAAAGAUCCACCUAUAAAAAUUUUUUAUCAAGCAUUAUAAACAAAUAAAUAGCAUUAAAAACAAAUAAAUUUAGAUAUAGUACGUUUUAAUAAAGGAAUUUACCUGGUACUGGAUGCUCUCCAGGUUCUAAACUACCAGAUGAUAAAACUCUCUCGAAUAAAACUCUUGUAUUAUUGUCCUCUGAAAUAUUAAACGCAAUUAGAAUUGUGAUAUAUAUAACAUAUGUAAAUUUAUUUCUUAAAAAGUUAUCUCACCAUUCAAAUGUGACAGGUAGUCAAUAUAACAAAGUAUAUAGUCAGGAUUGUCCCCAAAUUUCUUUAAACCUAAUUCAAAUAUCCGAAAAGCAAUAUUUUUAUCCUUUGUGCAAUAAUAUUCCAUUAAUGCUGCAGCAACAUAUACAUGAUGUUUACAUCUUGGGUCUUCGCGCGCUCUUUUAAAAACCGUUCUAGCCGAUUUUAUACCUUCAGCGCGUCUUGCGAAUUUCAUGUAUU
Molecule: unclassified non-coding RNA, 668 nt
Filed under: Bombus terrestris (buff-tailed bumblebee)
Lineage: Eukaryota; Metazoa; Arthropoda; Insecta; Hymenoptera; Apidae
Description: misc RNA ENSBTSG00005026051.1
Source: RNAcentral